UACAUAUUAUACGAGUGUUAUAUAUGUUAUAUUUUUAAAUGUAUCUUAAGCAGAAUAAAAAUGGAUUCAGUUUACUAUUGUGAAGUAUCUCAAAUGCACAGUUUACAGAAAUUUGAAAAAAUAACUAGUGCCUAUGGUUAAGAUUGAAAUAUAACUCCUGUCAAAUAAACACUUGAUUACAGCUAUACAUUGAAUUGAAUACAGGCUGUAGACCUGAGUUAGGAGCGCAGGUACACUCCGUAGAGUUGGCGUUACAAUGAGAAUUAUAAAAAACUCUGUUUUCUAGGAGUUUCGUGAGAGCUAAUGUGGACACAGGAAACAAGACAGUUUGGAAAUUGCAGACUUUCAAACACCAACUUCAGAUGGAUGGCAGCAGUUGUGGUGUUCUGAUAUUAAAUUUUGCAGAACAGUACCUUACAAGUGGAUCAAUUGAUCAGGUGGAAACCAGCCCAGCAUCUAUAAGAGCAGAAAGACUGGAGAUUGCUGGCCUCCUUAUGGAAAAUCAGGGCAACAUAGAUGAAUACUGCAUAAUAUGCAGCAUGAUGGACCUGCAAUCAGCCAACACCACAAUUAAC
Molecule: long non-coding RNA, 575 nt
Organism: Acipenser ruthenus (sterlet)
Lineage: Eukaryota; Metazoa; Chordata; Actinopteri; Acipenseriformes; Acipenseridae
Exons: 3
Source: RefSeq, a predicted model, not a curated record